UAUCCUGUCUGAAUAUGGGGGGACCAUCCUCCAAGGCUAAAUACUCCUGACUGACCGAUAGUGAACCAGUACCGUGAGGGAAAGGCGAAAAGAACCCCGGCGAGGGGAGUGAAAAAGAACCUGAAACCGUGUACGUACAAGCAGUGGGAGCCUCUUUAUGGGGUGACUGCGUACCUUUUGUAUAAUGGGUCAGCGACUUAUAUUCUGUAGCAAGGUUAACCGAAUAGGGGAGCCGAAGGGAAACCGAGUCUUAACUGGGCGUUAAGUUGCAGGGUAUAGACCCGAAACCCGGUGAUCUAGCCAUGGGCAGGUUGAAGGUUGGGUAACACUAACUGGAGGACCGAACCGACUAAUGUUGAAAAAUUAGCGGAUGACUUGUGGCUGGGGGUGAAAGGCCAAUCAAACCGGGAGAUAGCUGGUUCUCCCCGAAAGCUAUUUAGGUAGCGCCUCGUGAAUUCAUCUCCGGGGGUAGAGCACUGUUUCGGCAAGGGGGUCAUCCCGACUUACCAACCCGAUGCAAACUGCGAAUACCGGAGAAUGUUAUCACGGGAGACACACGGCGGGUGCUAACGUCCGUCGUGAAGAGGGAAACAACCCAGACCGCCAGCUAAGGUCCCAAAGUCAUGGUUAAGUGGGAAA
RNAcentral lists this ribosomal RNA (639 nucleotides) under Escherichia coli. RNAcentral's name for it is "bacterial LSU rRNA". It matches the Rfam family "Bacterial large subunit ribosomal RNA", at positions 430 to 1070 of the family's 2925-position model. Lineage: Bacteria; Pseudomonadati; Pseudomonadota; Gammaproteobacteria; Enterobacterales; Enterobacteriaceae. The record is from RNAcentral.